UACGUAGGGCGCAAGCGUUGUCCGGAAUUAUUGGGCGUAAAGAGCUCGUAGGCGGUCUGUCGCGUCGGCUGUGAAAACCCGAGGCUCAACCUCGGGCCUGCAGUCGAUACGGGCAAACUAGAGUGUUGCAGGGGAGACUGGAAUUCCUGGUGUAGCGGUGAAAUGCGCAGAUAUCAGGAGGAACACCGGUGGCGAAGGCGGGUCUCUGGGCAACAACUGACGCUGAGGAGCGAGAGCGUGGGGAGCGAACAGG
This 253-nucleotide ribosomal RNA is filed under the name uncultured bacterium. RNAcentral's name for it is "partial 16S ribosomal RNA". It matches the Rfam family "Bacterial small subunit ribosomal RNA", at positions 524 to 776 of the family's 1533-position model. The record is from RNAcentral.